Molecule: non-coding RNA, 24 nt
Filed under: Arabidopsis thaliana (thale cress)
Lineage: Eukaryota; Viridiplantae; Streptophyta; Magnoliopsida; Brassicales; Brassicaceae
Source: RNAcentral
GAAAUCUAUACUAACUUCCCGAUC